Molecule: ribosomal RNA, 437 nt
Filed under: uncultured bacterium
Lineage: Bacteria
Description: partial 16S ribosomal RNA
Rfam family: Bacterial small subunit ribosomal RNA
Source: RNAcentral
AGCGAACGCUGGCGGCAGGCUUAACACAUGCCAGUCGAGCGGGCAUCCUUGUGGUGUCAGCGGCAGACGGGUGAGUAACGCGUGGGAACGUGCCCUUCGGUUCGGAAUAACUCAGGGAAACUUGAGCUAAUACCGGAUACGUGCGAGAGCAGAAAGGUUUAUCUGCCGAAGGAUCGGCCCGCUUCUGAUUAGCUAGUUGGUGAGGUUAUGGCUCACCAAGGCGACGAUCAGUAGCUGGUCUGAGAGGAUGAUCAGCCACACUGGGACUGAGACACGGCCCAGACUCCUACGGGAGGCAGCAGUGGGGAAUAUUGGACAAUGGGGGCAACCCUGAUCCAGCCAUGCCGCGUGAGUGAUGACGGCCUUAGGGUUGUAAAGCUCUUUUCUCCGGGACGAUAAUGACGGUACCGGAGGAAUAAGCCCCGGCUAACUUCGUG